CCGCCCCUGCGCCCGCCCCUCCACCGAGCCAGGCCGCGGCGCCGCCCCUCCACGCUCGGCUCGGCGCUCGCCCCUCCACGCUCGGCUCGGCGCACGCAGUCACACACUAGCAGACAGCGGCAGUGGAAAGAGAGGAGUGAGAAGCAGAAGAAGAACAAGAACAGGAGAGAAGACCCGGAUGAGAGAGAGAUAGGAAAGACGAGAGGGAAAGGUAAUAUGACCUCCUUCAAGUUGAUCCAUAAAGUACAUAUUUAAAAGGAAGGGAUAUUGUACAGCAGAAUAGCUUCUGAAAUCUGAACUACUAUAGAAGUGUACAGUUUUGACAGAGCGCUUGCUUCUAGCCAAUGCACUAGUGUACGUAUCACUGAAUAUACAAUACUCAUCAUUUAUGUAAUAACCAGCUUUGGAAAGAAUGUACAUACCUGAGAAAGAAUCGAUGACUUUUCUAGUUUCAACAAAUUAACAUUAUUCUGAACGACCUGCCUGAUACAUAAAUUAACAUUAGUCUGAUAAUCAGCUGAAUAUUUCUAACCAAAGGUGGGCAUAUCCUACCUACUUUGUAAAAAGAAUGGACCAAGUCUAUUCUCAUGUCGACUCUGAGGAGUCAUUAUCAAUGUUGCUAGUGCGCACAAUUAUAAAUAAUCAGAGGCAAGUACCAAGAAAAAGAGACAUAAGCUAAUGCAGGUAUGAAUGCCACUAACUUGUUUUGGGUGCCAGCGGCAUGGUUCCAGAAGACUUGAAGCUCUGAUUAAGCCAUUCAAAUGGACACGCACUUUCGUGUACUUUUCUACGACAUUACUUUACCCACUUAAUUAAGCAGGACCUGCUUAAUGGGGGAGAACUUAGUUUUAAAUGUGAGCCAUUAAUUUUUUUGAUCGGAUGGUGCAAAUAAUAUUAACAUAUGUGGACGAAUAUGAUGGCUUGUUUUACUUCUGUCUUAAGUAUCUGAUUUAUUUUCAGCUUUUGGUUAAAAAUUGGUAGCGGAAGGCAUUUUGACCCAUUUGUCACUGUUAUUUGUUACGGCACAGCGUUGGGAGUUCCUUUUUGUACUUGUUUGUUGUGAAACAUCAUAAUGUAUCUAGUUACACGUCUGUCAUGAAUUCAACUUCAGGAAUUUGGACGGUGGCGAAAGCCCAGAAAUCUUGGUGAUUGAAUAAACAUGGAACUAUAAUGUUUGUGAAAUGGAGAGGUUACAUGAUGAGGGGCAUGCCUGUAUUUCACUCAGUAGUGAGAUGAUGUAUAGGUGCUUGUUAGGGACUUUAUUUGUUCCUUAUUAUGUUUUAGUCCAAAAACAUCAACACUCAUUGGGUGUUAUAAUCUCCUGGGGGCCUUUUACUUGUUUCAGUUGUAUGAUUUGUUAAAGUGGCUAUGCUGGAUUGCCCUGAAGGUGUUAUGGAUAGCACAUUCAGGUAAUAAAUAUGACAAAUGAAGACGCAUUUUCACUUAUUUGGUAAUCUAGACGCGUCAAAAGUGACUUCUUUCAAAUGUGCUUGGAUGAUUCGUGACACACAAUUAAUCUAUCACAGGACUCAAAAAUAGUUAGCUAUCUUUACUUCCUUAUAAGCAUUGCCCUGGAUUUUCUCUUUAAAUUGUUUAAAUUUUGUUAUUGUCAUUUAGGCAAUAAGACAUACUGAGCUCAAAUAUAUUUUCUUAAUUCCUUGCCAUAUCUUAGAGCUAUAAAACACCCUUUAUCUCAAUCUUUGAAGACAUACCGGUUGGAUGGACAAUGAAUUUUAUACUUCAUUAGUAUAGAAGACUCCCUGAGUAAUAGAUUGCAGCCAUCCAUACUAUCGCCACACUGUAUACAAUGUGGAUAGUUAGCUUGAUAAACAUGGAUUUAGCAUGCAUAUAUUAUUGGCAGUUUUUUAAGGCUAUGCUAAAAUGUGAUAGUUAUAUUUUGUCCCGACACCACUGUAUAUGUUGUUGUACAAUGCGGGAGGAUCACGUAGAGUCGCUGUUUCAGUUUUCGCUUGGCUAUUUUGGCUAUAUUAUUACUAACCUCAUCAGUGUCAUACGCCGUUUGUUUAUCCAAGGGCAUGCCAAAAUUUCCCUUUAAUUACGUCAUUUUUAGUGCCUACAGAUGACUGAUGUUUCAUUUUGAUAAAAGUCCCACUACGGUCAGAAUGAGAUGAAUUACAUGUCUGCAAAACUAAUCAAAUAUGAAUGUGAUGAAUUUCCUCUUUGCAGAAUCUACAUACUAUGUAUUACAUGCAAAAAAUGUUUAUACAAGACAUUUUCCCCUCAUGGUUAUAUGUGUGUUGCACGUACAUGCCCACGUCCUCGACGGCAAAAUCCAGCUACCGGUGGGGAUAUAGAGGAUGCCAAGAUGGACAACGCAUUGGUAUCGAGUUUGCCGUGCUCGCGAGGACAGACCACGACCUGGUGACCUUUGCCAUUGAGGGCACCGUCUACCUUUGGAGCCCCGUUGAUCUCAUGACCCUCGCCACCGCCACAGCCAACGCCACAGAGUGUGAGAUUGCUAAAUGGCAACUGCUCUUACUGGAGCGAUGUUACCCUUCCAGGAGAUAAGAGUGAUACUAUUCUUUGGUCAGGUUAUGUUUGUUACGGAUUGUUGUAUUGAGGAAAGCAAUUAUGGAACUUAGUGUGUUUUAUGGUUUUUUUUCUGAAUUUACAGCCGCUAAGUUCCUGAAGCUUGAUCGACAUCUUUUGUCAGUUGCUAACUAUUCCAACAUCUCUCAAAAUGGGAAAAGCAAGAGGGAAAUGUAGCACCCCCUAGGACAUCAACUGUACUGCCAGUGUACAUGCUUUCACAUGAAAAUGCUGAUUUGCUUAAGAUCACGGAAGCUUGGGUUGAUGGAGUGC
Molecule: long non-coding RNA, 2823 nt
Organism: Triticum dicoccoides
Lineage: Eukaryota; Viridiplantae; Streptophyta; Magnoliopsida; Poales; Poaceae
Exons: 5
Source: RefSeq, a predicted model, not a curated record